UACGUAGGGGGCAAGCGUUGUCCGGAUUCAUUGGGCGUAAAGAGCGUGUAGGCGGCCAGGUAGGUCGGUUGUGAAAACUGGAGGCUCAACCUUCAGACGUCGACCGAAACCAUCUGGCUAGAGUCCGGGAGAGGAGAGUGGAAUCCCGGUGUAGCGGUGAAAUGCGCAGAUAUCGGGAGGAACACCAAUGGCGAAGGCAGCUCGCUGGGACGGUACUGACGCUGAGGCGCGAAAAGCGUGGGGAGCAAACAGGG
Molecule: ribosomal RNA, 254 nt
Filed under: uncultured bacterium
Lineage: Bacteria
Description: partial 16S ribosomal RNA
Rfam family: Bacterial small subunit ribosomal RNA
Source: RNAcentral